RNAcentral lists this ribosomal RNA (339 nucleotides) under Nematoda environmental sample. RNAcentral describes it as "SSU rRNA". It matches the Rfam family "Eukaryotic small subunit ribosomal RNA", at positions 1300 to 1665 of the family's 1831-position model. The record is from RNAcentral. Lineage: Eukaryota; Metazoa; Nematoda.
GGUGGAGUGAUCUGUCUGGUUUAUUCCGGUAACGAUCGAGACUCCAGCCAACUCAAUAGUUGCUGGACUUCGUGUCUGGUUUACUUCUUAGAGGGAUUAGUGGCGUUUAGUCACACGAGAAGGAGCGAUAACAGGUCUGUGAUGCCCUUAGAUGUCCGGGGCUGCACGCGCGCCACACUGGGAGAAUCACUAGGUGUUCCAUUGCCGAAAGGCGUUGGUAAUCCUUUUGAACCUCUCCCCGUGGCCGGGAUAGGGAUUUGUAACUAUUUCCCUUGAACGAGGAAUUCCUAGUAAGUGUGAGUCAUCAACUCACGUUGAAUACGUCCCUGCCCUUUGUAC